UUACCAUGUGGCCAGUAUGUUCUCAAUCUCCUGAUCUUGUGGUCCAUCCACGUUGACCUCCCAAAGUGCUGGCAUUACAGGCGUGAGCAACCACACCCGGCCAAAUUUUCUCUGUUUGUCUUUAGAGAUGAGCUCUUGCUCUGUCACCUAGGCUGGAGUGCAGUGGCUCAGUAAUAGUUCACUGCAGCCUUAAACUCCUGGACUCAAAUGAUCUUCCCACCUCAGCUUUCUGAGUAGGGAACAUGACAUCCUCUUCCUAGGUUACACCCACCUGCAGAGGGCCCAGCCCCAUCACUGGAGCCACUGGAUUCUGAGCAUCAUUGCAGGAUGAGUAUUUUGUGUCAAGUGGAUUCAAGGGACAGUGCGAAGGAUCCAUGGCCUCAGUCAUGAAGACUCUCCCAAGAGCCAACCGUCCUGGGCACAUAUAAAUGAGUGGAGACAUGGAACUCACCCUUACAAGGCCUAGAACCUGACAGAGCAUACAAGACUGAAGCCCAAAUAACCA
Molecule: long non-coding RNA, 505 nt
Organism: Callithrix jacchus (white-tufted-ear marmoset)
Lineage: Eukaryota; Metazoa; Chordata; Mammalia; Primates; Cebidae
Source: RefSeq, a predicted model, not a curated record